Molecule: small RNA, 155 nt
Filed under: Mytilus galloprovincialis (Mediterranean mussel)
Lineage: Eukaryota; Metazoa; Mollusca; Bivalvia; Mytilida; Mytilidae
Source: RNAcentral
AUAGGGAAAUCGAAAAAUAGGGAAAUCAAGAAAUAGGGAAAUCGAGAAAGCAAAAACGCGAAAACACGAAAACGCGAAAUGAAUUUCUCGAUUUCGCGUUUUUGCUUUCUCGAUUUCCCGAUUUCCCGAUUUCCCAAUUUCUCAAUUUCUCGAUU